This 111-nucleotide ribosomal RNA is filed under the name Ulva compressa. RNAcentral describes it as "partial 5.8S ribosomal RNA". It matches the Rfam family "5.8S ribosomal RNA", at positions 50 to 154 of the family's 154-position model. From Rfam's summary of the family: 5.8S ribosomal RNA (5.8S rRNA) is a component of the large subunit of the eukaryotic ribosome. It is transcribed by RNA polymerase I as part of the 45S precursor that also contains 18S and 28S rRNA. The record is from RNAcentral. Lineage: Eukaryota; Viridiplantae; Chlorophyta; Ulvophyceae; Ulvales; Ulvaceae.
GAAAUGCGAUACGUAGUGUGAAUUGCAGAAUUCCGUGAGUCAUCGAAUCUUUGAACGCACAUUGCCGGUCGAGUCUUCGGACGAGACCACAUCUGCCUCAGCGUCGGGAUA